AACGAACGUUGGCGGCGUGGAUGAGGCAUGCAAGUCGAACGCGAAAGCCGCAAGGCGAGUAGCGUGGCGGACGGGUGCGUAACGCGUAGUCAAGUUACCUUCGAGACGGGGAUAACCGCGGGAAACCGCGGCUAAUACCGGAUGGUCCAGCGUGAUCGCAUGAUCGUGCUGGUAAAUGGGGGGGAUCUUUCGGGACCUCCUGCUCGGUGAGACGACUGCGUCCUAUCAGCUAGUUGGCGGGGUAAUGGCCCACCAAGGCAUUGACGGGUAGCCGGCCUGAGAGGGUGGUCGGCCACACUGGGACUGAGACACUGCCCAGACUCCUACGGGAGGCUGCAGUCGAGAAUCUUCCGCAAUGGGCGAAAGCCUGACGGAGCGACGCCGCGUGGAGGACGAAGGCCUUCGGGUUGUAAACUCCUGUCACGGAUCAUGAACGGCGUUCCAUGAACAAUGGAACGAUUGACGUAAGUCCGAGAGGAAGCACCGGCUAACUCUGUGCCAGCAGCCGCGGUAAUACAGAGGGUGCGAACGUUGUUCGGAAUUACUGGGCAUAAAGAGCACGUAGGCGGCACCGCAAGUGUGGGGUGAAAUCCCACGGCUUACCCGUGGAACUGCCUGGCAGACUGCGGUGCUAGAGGUUGGUAGGGGAGAGCGGAACUCUUGGUGGAGCGGUGAAAUGCGUAGAUAUCAAGAGGAACACCGGUGGCGAAGGCGGCUCUCUGGAACAAUCCUGACGCUGAGGUGCGAAAGCUAGGGGAGCAAACGGGAUUAGAUACCCCGGUAGUCCUAGCUGUAAACGAUGGGCACUAGCUUGGGGUCACCCCGUGUGAUCCCAGGUGAAGCGAAUGUGGUAAGUGCCCCGCCUGGGGAGUACGGUCGCAAGGCUG
This 887-nucleotide ribosomal RNA is filed under the name uncultured bacterium. RNAcentral's name for it is "bacterial SSU rRNA". It matches the Rfam family "Bacterial small subunit ribosomal RNA", at positions 28 to 896 of the family's 1533-position model. The record is from RNAcentral.